This 293-nucleotide ribosomal RNA is filed under the name uncultured bacterium. Its description in RNAcentral is "partial 16S ribosomal RNA". It matches the Rfam family "Bacterial small subunit ribosomal RNA", at positions 53 to 339 of the family's 1533-position model. The record is from RNAcentral.
ACAUGCAAGUCGAGGGGCAUCAUGGCGGUUGCUUGCAACCGCCGAUGGCGACCGGCGGAAGGGUGCGUAACGCGUGAGCGACAUGCCCGUUGCCCGGGGACAACCGGUGGAAACGCCGACUAAUCCCCGAUGGGACGGAGGCCCUCAUGGGUCUCUGUUGAAAGUUACGGCGGCGACGGAUUGGCUCGCGUCCGAUUAGCUAGUUGGCGGGGUAACGGCCCACCAAGGCUACGAUCGGUAGGGGUUCUGAGAGGAAGGUCCCCACAAUGGAACUGAGACACGGUCCAAACUCC